Molecule: ribosomal RNA, 114 nt
Filed under: Salvator merianae (Argentine black and white tegu)
Lineage: Eukaryota; Metazoa; Chordata; Lepidosauria; Squamata; Teiidae
Source: RNAcentral
ACAUGUAUCAGCAUUUAGGUUACCCUUUGUUGAUCUGUCUGAGCUCAAAAGCUACGCAGAACCUGGUUAGUACUUAGGUGUGAGACUGCCUGGCAGUAUCAGGUGAUACAGGUU